CGGAGCAGCGGAAAGAGUCA
This 20-nucleotide non-coding RNA is filed under the name Arabidopsis thaliana (thale cress). The record is from RNAcentral. Lineage: Eukaryota; Viridiplantae; Streptophyta; Magnoliopsida; Brassicales; Brassicaceae.